CUAUUUACACUUACGUGUCGUGUUAAAAUAAUCAUUUCUCUAUUAAUUUCUCCAUAUACAUUUCCUUCUGACAUUUCCAAUUAUUGUUUCCCUUCAGUGCCCCCAGGCUUGCCAGCUUGGAGUGCAAAUACCUAGAUUCCCUGAGCACCCCCAAGGUAUGACUGUCUCUUCAGUGGAGAUUUUACAGUUGUAUUUGAAGAAAAGAUGCUGUGUAGUGCUGAUGGAUUCUUCCACUUAGUCCCAUGACAGAUUGUUCUAGUUACGCGUAUCCACCUGUUGGCUGUGGAACAGUAAAUCUACCCAUCUUAAGGGG
Molecule: long non-coding RNA, 313 nt
Filed under: Homo sapiens (human)
Lineage: Eukaryota; Metazoa; Chordata; Mammalia; Primates; Hominidae
Description: HSALNT0177105
Source: RNAcentral